CUUCGGAUCGUAAACUUCUUUUAGAGGGGAUGAAUGAGUUAGUGAAUAACUAACUGUGACAGUACUCUUUGAAUAAGCCACGGCUAACUACGUGC
RNAcentral lists this ribosomal RNA (95 nucleotides) under uncultured bacterium. RNAcentral's name for it is "partial 16S ribosomal RNA". The record is from RNAcentral.